RNAcentral lists this small RNA (816 nucleotides) under Pan troglodytes (chimpanzee). Its description in RNAcentral is "processed transcript". The record is from RNAcentral. Lineage: Eukaryota; Metazoa; Chordata; Mammalia; Primates; Hominidae.
GAAGGUUGCCAGAAAUUGAGGACGGACUCCCGCCCUGGUCGACUGAGCUCCCACAGGAGCGCCUCUGCUGCGUCUCGGGGCUGAGUGUGGACGCGCCGCGCGCGGCCCCGCCAGGGCUGGUAGUUUGCAGACCGUCCCUGCCGCGGCCCGCUCGGCGGCGGCCCUGCGGCUCCCGCGGCGGCGGCCCCGGGCGCGAUCCAGCCCAGGUAGCCGCGCCGCAGGCUCGGGGCGUCGCGACCUCGCGCCUCGGGCCGCGUGGGCACGGCGGCCGGCGGGUGCUCCCGGCUGCUGCUGCUGCCCAACAAGGAGGCAAUGGGAAAAUAGUAAGAGGCAGACCAACAGUGAUCCAGGGCUCUGAAAGCUAAUUGCUUCAAGAUCCUGCUACCAUUUUCUUUUGGGCUGCUUGCAAAGAAGAAUCCUUUGACUGAAGCAUCAGAAUGGAAGUGAGGAAAGGCAACCAGCUGACACAGGAGCCAGAGUGAGACCAGCAGACUCUCACACUCAACCUACACCAUGAAUUUGUGUCUAUCUUCUACGCGUUAAGAGCCGAGGACAGGUGAAGUUGCCAGAGAGCAAUGGCUCUCUUCACUCCGUGGAAGUUGUCCUCUCAGAAGCUGGGCUUUUUCCUGGUGACUUUUGGCUUCAUUUGGGGUAUGAUGCUUCUGCACUUUACCAUCCAGCAGCGAACUCAGCCUGAAAGCAGCUCCAUGCUGCGCGAGCAGAUCCUGGACCUCAGCAAAAGGUACAUCAAGGCACUGGCAGAAGAAAACAGGAAUGUGGUGGAUGGGCCGUACGCUGGAGUCAUGACAGCUUAUG